AUACGUAGGGGGCUAGCGUUGUCCGGAAUUACUGGGCGUAAAGGGUGCGUAGGCGGCUUUGUAAGUCAGAUGUGAAAUCCCACGGCUUAACUGUGGUAAGCAUUUGAAACUGCAAGGCUUGAGUACAGGAGAGGAGAGUGGAAUUCCUAGUGUAGCGGUGAAAUGCGUAGAUAUUAGGAGGAAUACCAGUGGCGAAGGCGACUCUCUGGACUGUAACUGACGCUGAUGCACGAAAGCGUGGGGAGCAAACAGGAUUAGAUACCCUGGUAGUCCACGCCGUAAACGAUGAGUGCUAGGUGUUGGAGGGGACACCCUUCGGUGCCGAAGUUAACACAUUAAGCACUCCGCCUGGGGAGUACGGUCGCAAGACUGAA
Molecule: ribosomal RNA, 374 nt
Filed under: uncultured bacterium
Lineage: Bacteria
Description: bacterial SSU rRNA
Rfam family: Bacterial small subunit ribosomal RNA
Source: RNAcentral